Molecule: long non-coding RNA, 4016 nt
Filed under: Manihot esculenta (cassava)
Lineage: Eukaryota; Viridiplantae; Streptophyta; Magnoliopsida; Malpighiales; Euphorbiaceae
Description: long non-coding RNA (MESC_LNC010703)
Source: RNAcentral
CUUUCCAGGUAAGUAUGUGGAGAAGUAGUAUAAUUUUGAUUAUAGAAAUUUGUUUUCCAUUUGAAAUAUAGUUGUUAUAGGUUAUAGGAAGUAAAUAUGUUAAUAUAGGAAGUAAACAUUGAUAGAUGGGUUAGUUACUUAAUCUUAGGGAUUGUAUAAUCAUAGGCUUGAUUUUCCUUCCUGUUUAGAUACCGUCUCUCAUUUAUAAAUAGGUUGUAAUCUCUAUUGUGAUAUACAACAAAUAUUAUUCUUCUACAUGGUAUCAGAGUCAUUCUCGUAGAGAUUUUUUUUCUUUUCUCUUUCGUCAAGUUUUAAAAUUUUUUUUUGAGACUUAGGGCUCUGUUCAUUUGAGUCAUCCAUAAAGGGUAACAUUUGGAUCUCACAUCGCUGGAGUCGCCACACCUACCCCUUGUCAGAUCUGAGGUUUGUUUGCCGUUCGGGUGUUGGGUGAAGGUGUUUUUUGGUACUGUUCAUCGGCACUGUUCACGAUACUGUUCAUCGGCACUGUUCACGAGUACUGUUCUUCUGAUCCUUUGUUAUUUUGAUUGUUUUGGGUUGGUUGUCCUGAUGGCUGAAAUUAAAACCACCGUAAGUGAUGUGAUUCCUAUGAUGACUAAAAUCACAGAACACAAAUUAAAUGGAUCUAAUUUUUUAGAUUGGAGUAAGACUAUUCGUAUUUAUUUACGAAGUAUUGCAAUAGAUGAUCAUCUUACCAAGGAUCUUCCAACUGAUGAAACUCGUAGAGAUUGGAUGAGGGAUGAUGCUCGUUUGUUUCUGCAGAUUCGAAAUUCUAUUCAUAGUGAGGUGAUUAGUCUUAUUAAUCACCGUGAAUUUGUUAAAGAAUUAAUGGAGUAUUUGGAAUUUAUGUAUUCUGGCAAAGGGAAUAUUUCCUAUAUUUAUGAUGUGUGUAAAGCGUUUUACCGAGCCGAUAAAAAUGAUAGAACUUUGACAUCCUAUUUUAUGGAUUUUAAAAGAGUUUAUGAAGAACUUAAUGUAUUGAUGCCCUUUAGUACAGAUGUGAAAACUCAACAAGCUCAAUGAGAGCAAAUGGCUGUUAUGAGCUUUCUUGCAGGUCUCCCUCCAGAGUUUGAGACAGCUAAAUCUCAGGUUCUUUCUGACUCUGAAAUAUCAUCGUUACAUGAUGUGUUCACUAGGAUAUUGCGUACAGAAUCUCCAAUUCCUUCACACCCCACUAGUGCCCUUGUUAGCCGCAAUGACAGUGGCAAACAGAAUAAUAGAGGUGGGCAAAGGGGAGGUUUUAAUGGUGGUAAAAGAUCUCAGCAUUUUGGGGAAACAGGUUCUACUUCUGACUCAGGAGGAAUCAUUUGUUAUUACUGCAGCGAACCUGGACAUACUAAGAAGACAUGUUAAAAACUACAGAAUAAGAAUCAGCGCACACAAAUGGCGCAUAUGGCAGUUGAGGCCCCUUCAGAUCAGGGGAUUUUGAUAUAUUGAGAUGAGUAUGCACAAUUCACCCAAUACCAGGCAUCUCUGAAAUCCUCUAAUUCCUCCUCUAUCACUGCAAUUGCCGAGUCAGGUAACUCUACUGCAUAUCUUGUGUCUUCAUCCUCCAAAUGGGUUAUUGAUUCUGGUGCUACCGAUCAUAUGUCAGGUGAUUCUACCCUUUUGUCCAAUCUUGAGUCUCAUGCAUCGACUUCUUAUGUUACUCUUGCUGAUGGUACUAAAUCUUUUGUCAUGGGUUCUGGUCAUGUCAACUUAACCCCUUCUCUUUUUGUAUCCUCUGUGUUAUGUCUCCUUAAGUUCGCAUAUAAUUUGCUUUCUGUUAGUAAACUCACUCGUGCAUUGAAUUGUUGUGUCUCAUUCUUUCUUGAUCACUGUAUUUUUCAGGAUCUUUCGACGAAGCAAAUUAUUGGUAGAGGGCGUGAGUCAGAGCGUCUCUACGUCUUGGAUCAGCAACUACCUAGAUCACUUGCAUGUUCCACGCGUUUAACACCUUUUGAUGUUCAUUGUCGUUUGGGGCAUCCUUCUCUCUCGGCUUUGAAGAAGUUAAAUCCACAAUUUCAUUUUUUGUCUGUUUUAGAUUGUGAGUCUUGUCAAUUUGCCAAACAUCAUCGUUUUCCUUCAGUAUCUCGUAUCUCGAGUCAAUAAACGGGCUUCGUCCCCCUUUGAGUUAGUACAUUCAGAUGUUUAGGGUCCUUGCACUACUGUGUCUAAGUCUGGCUUUAAGUACUUUGUUACUUUGUUGAUUACUUCUCUCGUACUACUUGGUUAUUUUUAAUGAAGAGUCGUUCAGAAUUAUUUUAUAUCUUUUGUGCGUUUUAUGCUGAAAUCCAAACCCAAUUCAAUGUUCCCAUUCGUAUAUUGCAAAGUGAUAAUGCUAAAGAGUAUCUCUCUAGGAAAUUUCAAUCUUAUUUGUUAUAAAAAGGGAUUCUUCAUCAGUUCUCUUGUGUUGAUACUCCUUCACAAAAUGGAAUCGAAGUUAUGCGGUGUAAGAAAGGCAUCUUCUUAUCUCAAAGAAAAUAUGUUCUUGAUUUGUUAGCAAAAACAGGAAAAUUAGGUGCUAAGCCUUGUAGUGCCCCAAUGACCCCUAACCUUCAACUUACCACAGAAGACAGUGAGCCAUUUGCAGAUCCUGAAAGGUAUAGAAGAUUAGUUGGCAAGCUGAAUUAUUUGACAGUGACUCGUCCUGAUAUUGCAUAUUCAGUGAGUGUGGUAAGUCAGUUUAUGUCCUCUCCUACUGUUGCCCAGUGGGAUGCUUUGGGACAAAUUCUUUGUUACCUUAAAAGGGCCCCAAGGCGAGGCCUAUUCUAUGGUAACCAUGGGCACUCAAAUAUUGAAUGCUUUUCUGAUGCUGAUUGGGCAGGCUCGAAGGUUGAUAGGAGGUCAAUUACUGGGUAUUGUAUUUUUGUGGGAGGUAACUUGGUCUCAUGGAAAAGUAAGAAGCAAAAUAUGGUCUCCCGUUCUAGUGCUGAAUUUGAAUAUCGAGCCAUGGCACAAGCCGUUUGUGAAAUCUUGUGGGUACAUCAACUAUUGAAAGAAGUUGAGUUCUCAAAUUCGGUGCCUGCUAAGUUGUGGUGUGAUAAUCAAGCAGCUAUCCACAUUGCCUCCAAUCCAGUAUUUCACGAGAGGACUAAACACAUCGAGAUUGAUUGUCAUUUUGUUCGUGAAAAGGUCCAACAAAAGAUAAUAUCAACAGGACAUAUCCGGACUGGAGAACAAUUGGGAGAUAUCUUCACUAAAGCUCUAAAUGGAACUCGAAUUGAGUAUAUAUGUAACAAGUUUGGCAUGAUUAACAUUUAUGCUCCAACUUGAGGGGGAGUGUUAUAGGUUAUAGAAAGUAAAUAUAUUAAUAUAGGAAGUAAACAUCGAUAGAUGGGUUAGUUACUUAAUCUUAGGGAUUGUAUAAUCGAAUUGUAUAAUCAUAGGCUUGAUUUUCCUUCCUGUUUAGACACCGUCUCUCAUGUAUAAAUAGGUUGUAAUCUCUAUUGUGAUAUACAACAAAUAUUAUCCUUCUACAAUAGUUAAAAACAAAAUUUUAGUAUAAAUUUAAAUAAUGGAAAAUAAUUUGAAUGGAACAUAUUGAUUUAAGUGUUCUUAGUUUUCCAAUCUCCAUGUUGAAAACUGACACAUGCAAAAAUGGAAAUCAGUUUUCCAGUUUUCUACAAAAACUUUGCAAACUAGCCUAGUUUUUCAAAAGUGAGCAAGCCCUUUAUAUUUUGCAAAUCAGUUAAGCUUUGUUUUUGUUUAUUUAGACAAUCAUUAAAAGAUUUUAUUAUUUACAAAUUCACAGCAAGCUUUGUUGUUCAUUGCUAAAAAGCUUGACUUUCUAACUAGAGAAAGCUGGGAUAAAACAUAAUCAUCACCAUAUGUAGCUAGUUCUAGAAUGAAAACAAGUUGUUUAGGCAGCACAACACGCAUCACAAAUGCCUAUAGCCAAGUCUAAUGCACUUGUGAAAAAAAAAGUUCAAUACACAGAUAAAGUAUUCAAAAUAAAAAGGAUGAAGAAUCAACAUGUCAAAGAAACUAGAUUAUAACCAAUUAACCUACACCAAUCA